Molecule: ribosomal RNA, 465 nt
Filed under: uncultured bacterium
Lineage: Bacteria
Description: partial 16S ribosomal RNA
Rfam family: Bacterial small subunit ribosomal RNA
Source: RNAcentral
GACGAACGCUGGCGGCGUGCUUAACAUAUGCCAGUCGAACGGAAAGGCCCCUUUGGGGGUACUCGAGUGGCGAACGGGUGAGUAACACGUGAGUAACCUGCCCUUGACUUCGGGAUAACUUCAGGAAACUGGGGCUAAUACCGGAUAGGAAUCCUUGCUGCAUGGUGGGGGUUGGAAAGCUUCGGCGGUUUUGGAUGGACUCGCGGCUUAUCAGCUUGUUGGUGGGGUAGUGGCUUACCAAGGCUUUGACGGGUAGCCGGCCUGAGAGGGCGACCGGCCACAUUGGGACUGAGAUACGGCCCAGACUCCUACGGGAGGCAGCAGUGGGGAAUAUUGCACAAUGGGCGGAAGCCUGAUGCAGCAACGCCGCGUGCGGGAUGACGGCCUUCGGGUUGUAAACCGCUUUCAGCAGGGGCGAAGCUUGUGGUGACGGUACCUGCAGAAGAAGCACCGGCUAACUACGUG